UCUAACCACCCUGAACAUGCCCGAUCUUAUCUGAUCUCAGAAGCUAAGCAGGGUCGGGCCUGAUUAGUACUUGGAUGGGAGGAAUAAUAGGAGGUCAGAGUUGGAA
This 106-nucleotide ribosomal RNA is filed under the name Panthera tigris altaica (Amur tiger). The record is from RNAcentral. Lineage: Eukaryota; Metazoa; Chordata; Mammalia; Carnivora; Felidae.